GAUGAACGCUAGCGGCAGGCCUAAUACAUGCAAGACGAACGGUAAGUUGAGUAGCAAUACUUAGCCAAGAGUGUCGUACGGGUGCGUAACACGUAUGCAACCUACCCUAUACAGGAGGAUAGCCUAGGGAAACCUGGAUUAACCCUUCAUAGUAUUAUUGGAUGGCAUCAUUUGAUAAUUAAAACUGAGGUGGUAUAGGAUGGGCAUGCGUCUGAUUAGUUAGUUGGCGGGGUAAUGGCCCACCAAGACGAUGAUCAGUAGGGGUUCUGAGAGGAAGAUCCCCCACACUGGCACUGAGAUACGGGCCAGACUCCUACGGGGAGCAGCAGUAGGGAAUAUUGGACAAUGGGGGCAACCCUGAUCCAGCAAUGCCGCGUGAGUGAUGAAGGCCUUAGGGUUGUAAAGCUCUUUUGCCAGGGAAGAUGAUGACUGUACCUGGAGAAUAAGCCCCCGGCUAACUUCGUGCCAGCAGCCGCGGUAAU
Molecule: ribosomal RNA, 482 nt
Filed under: uncultured bacterium
Lineage: Bacteria
Description: bacterial SSU rRNA
Rfam family: Bacterial small subunit ribosomal RNA
Source: RNAcentral